RNAcentral lists this ribosomal RNA (459 nucleotides) under uncultured bacterium. Its description in RNAcentral is "SSU rRNA". It matches the Rfam family "Bacterial small subunit ribosomal RNA", at positions 26 to 518 of the family's 1533-position model. The record is from RNAcentral.
AGGACGAACGCUGGCGGCAGGCUUAACACAUGCAAGUCGAGCGCUCGCAGCAAUGCGGGAGCGGCAGACGGGUGAGUAACGCGUGGGAACAUACCCUUCGGUUCGGAAUAGCUCAGGGAAACUUGAAUUAAUACCGGAUACGGCCAGAAGUGAAAAUUUCUGGCGAAAGAUUUAUCGCCGAAGGAUUGGCCCGCGUUCGAUUAGCUAGUUGGUGAGGUAACGGCUCACCAAGGCGACGAUCGAUAGCUGGUCUGAGAGGAUGAUCAGCCGCAUUGGGACUGAGACACGGCCCAAACUCCUACGGGAGGCAGCAGUGGGGAAUAUUGGACAAUGGGCGCAAGCCUGAUCCAGCCAUGCCGCGUGAGUGAUGACGGCCUUAGGGUUGUAAAGCUCUUUCGCUAGGGACGAUAAUGACGGUACCUAGACAAGAAGCCCGGCUAACUUCGUGCCAGCAGCCGC